RNAcentral lists this ribosomal RNA (301 nucleotides) under uncultured bacterium. Its description in RNAcentral is "partial 16S ribosomal RNA". It matches the Rfam family "Bacterial small subunit ribosomal RNA", at positions 509 to 809 of the family's 1533-position model. The record is from RNAcentral.
CAGCAGCCACGGUAAUACGUAGGGUGCAAGCGUUAAUCGGAAUUACUGGGCGUAAAGCGUGCGCAGGCGGUUAUAUAAGACAGAUGUGAAAUCCCCGGGCUCAACCUGGGAACUGCAUUUGUGACUGUAUAGCUAGAGUACGGCAGAGGGGGAUGGAAUUCCGCGUGUAGCAGUGAAAUGCGUAGAUAUGCGGAGGAACACCGAUGGCGAAGGCAAUCCCCUGGGCCUGUACUGACGCUCAUGCACGAAAGCGUGGGGAGCAAACAGGAUUAGAUACCCGGGUAGUCCCUGUCUCUUAUAU